This is a long non-coding RNA of Oxyura jamaicensis (ruddy duck), 970 nucleotides long. RefSeq lists it as uncharacterized. The record is from RefSeq and is a predicted model, not a curated record. Lineage: Eukaryota; Metazoa; Chordata; Aves; Anseriformes; Anatidae. The transcript is spliced from 2 exons.
CAGAGGUGAAUCUUGCCCAUAAUUAGGUUUUCUUUAAGCAUCAGCUAAUAAGCCAGCACUAGUCUUCGUAUGAUUCAUCUAAUCCUUUUUAGAAACGAAGCAGCACAGGAGAUGAAUGAAUGGUAGGCAGCGCCGGGUUUGUUUUCUUUCCCCUUGUCAGAUCAGCCUGAAGCGCUUUACAAACACUUCGGGACAGCCACAUGCGCAGAUGCCCAGAACUCCCUUUUCCUCUGAAGACUGUUUUCUUGCCCUCACACGUGCGUGCCUUUUUGAACAAAGCAUGCUUGAUGUGUGUGAGCUGUUUUCCUGCAGUGCCACCCCCGUCCCCCCCAUGGUGUUUGUGCAGACCCAAAGGAUGAGCGGGGCUGGACUCGGCACCAGGCACCGGCGGAGGCUGAACUUACAAGGAGCUGGAGGAGGGCUCGGGAGCUGGCGCUCAGCCUCGGUGCGGGAUUGCAGGGAGAUGGGGUCAUCGGCACGAGCCCACGGCAGAACUUCCUCUGGCAACGUGGGUUUAAAUGAGCCGCCCCUUACGCGUGCUUCAGUUUGUUUGCUUUGUCUGGAGGGCUGAAAUGCUUGCCUGAAUUCAGCCUGGCCAUUCUUAACUGCUGAGAAUAGCUUUCUAAAGAUGACCGAGAGUCAGCCCCAGCCUUCUGCCGGAGAGCGGAGCCUUGUGAUGCUGGAGGUCACCCAUGUCCAACAAGGCCCCAGCCGUGCACGGUGGCAAUUUCUGCUGUUCAGCCGUGGCCAGGACGCUGGGUGAGAGCAGCGCCGAGCUUGGUAGCGAUACGAGCUGCCAGCGUCCUCAGCAGGUGUUGGUGAUGGAUGGCAGAAAUGAAAUGAUACUGGAAGUCUGGGCAGCCAGCUGUAAAGUCAUCACCUAGGAAAGGUCAUGAGAGUAAUUUACACCAGAGGUUCCUGCUCUCAGAUCUAAGCACUAAAUAAAUGUGCUAGCAAGCAGGGAUGGAUU